Juglans microcarpa x Juglans regia is the source of this 283-nucleotide long non-coding RNA. RefSeq lists it as uncharacterized. The record is from RefSeq and is a predicted model, not a curated record. The transcript is spliced from 3 exons. Lineage: Eukaryota; Viridiplantae; Streptophyta; Magnoliopsida; Fagales; Juglandaceae.
GGCAAGAAGCUUGUAAAACCACCUGAAGACGUUUGGCCAGUGCUAACUUAACUCGAGAUGGAGACGAUAUUUUGGAUGACAAUGUGGAUGUCAUCCUUGAGAAACCUCAAGACAAGAAGACUAAGAAAGAAAAUGAAAGAAAGAGGAAGUCUAAAGAUGAUAUAGAUGCUGAAUUUAACCAUGCCUUAGUUCGCAUGAAUGCUGAUAGAAAUACACUCAUGGUGGAGAGAAAAGAAUUUUACAGUAAGGCAGAGCGGGAUAGAGAUGAGCAUCUUGCACUUGA